UGACAACUAAAAACUCCUUGAAUCAAAAAAUUUUAAAGAAAAUUCUUGGUCAUUUUUUUAUUGUCAUCUUAAACCGAGAGAGAAUACAACAGUCAGAGCCGAGAGCAGAUGCGUUGUAGUCAGUGAAAUCAGCCUAAACAAAGCUGAAGUUGGUCUCCAAUUUGCAGCUUCUGAUUCUGCAUUUAAUGGGAAAUCUAAUAAAAACUCAACUGACAGCAAGUGAAGAAAAGGAAAUAUUAAUUUCUUUGGAAUCACUGAGGCAUGAAAUCCUUCUGAUUGCCAGACAGACUCCUACAUCCUGUGAAAGAAAGUGGUCCACAAAGACUUUGUCCCCCAAAGGACAAAGUGAAUUAUGUGUAUUUGUAAAUAUUGCUUUGUGCACUUGUGUAUCAUCCUGUGCAUUUGUGAAUACUGACACUGUUUUAGCUCCAUACUUAUGUUUCAGCCCCUUAAACAGUGCUGCCAUGGGGUGUUAGCCAUAUUGCCCGUAUUAAAGAAAAUACCACUAUCUACUUGCGCUGUACAUGUUUAAAUGCUGUUACUUUCACUCUGUCUCAUACUAAAAUUUUGUGGGGUUAGAUUUGAAACAUUUUGGUGGUCUGUGAAUACAACCAUUUGAGAAUUUGUUGUUACUAUAUUUUUUUCUCAGUAGUUAAUCUUAACCAGUAUCUUCACAGGUAUUGAAAUCUGUGGUUCUCUGCUCUUAAUUUAUUAGGUAGUAUUGGCUUAAACGUUCAGUAUUUUGUAUAAACAUCCUUGCGCUCUGUUCAGUGAAAACAAUAACUUACUGGCAGCAUGCUGCCAAACAAAUCACUCCGGUAUUGGUUUUACUAGCACAAGGCUUUAACUUGCUUGCCUUUGUUAAAUCCAGAGGCUGUAUAAUGAGCCUUUCCAAGGUUGCACCUGCUUUAGUUGGCAGGUCAGAAUCUUUUUUUCCAUGGAUGAACUGGAGCUCAUGUGAUCCCCCAGCUUUCUCUCAGGGACGCUGGCAUCAUCUUACGAAAGUGUUUUUUUUUUUUUUAUCUUUCCCUGCCUGUUGAUGAUAAAUAAGAUAGAUUUGUUUUGCUCACUAGGUAAUGAAGGUAUAUCAAUACUGGCCCAGAAGGGAGAGUCUGAUUUCUCUCUUCUCUCUUGUUUAGUUGCUGUAGUGUUAAGGAAGCCCGGGUUGCUUUAACCCUUCAGGCAGGUGCCAAGUCAUCCAUGUAACUUGUAAGCAGUGGGAAGUAUGAAGUUCCAUAACAUUUCCUGGUAAAUAGGUGCUCUGGAACACAUCAGACCAACACCAGGAGAUGACAUGGCUCCUCAAAUCAUCCCUGAUUGUGGAAGCUUCACACUGCACCUCAACCAAAUUAGGAUCUGUGCCUCCUAUCUCUUUCUCCAGACUGUGGUACCUUAAUUUCUAAACAGAAUAGAAAAUUGACUUUUAUGUGAGACAAGGACUUUGAAAAACUGUCUAGUCCUUUUUCUCCUUAGCCAUGUAAAAUGCCUCUGCUGUCUCUGCUCAGGAGUGGCUUAACACAAGGAACAGUGAGAGUCUUCUAGUUGUAGACCAUAUGGGUUACGACUAGCAGAUUUUUUCCCCUUUCCACUUAUCUUUCCUUUAAUUUGACUGAAUGCAGGCCCUCUGUUAACAGUCUGAUGUCACAGCAAUUACCUUCUGUGACUUAUCCUCUGUAAGGGUGGUGUUGGUGACAAGAGUCAAUAGUCCACAGCAUGUGUAUUCGAUUUUCAUUAAUUUUAACAUUAAUAAAAACUUGAAAUAUAA
Long non-coding RNA from Xiphophorus hellerii (green swordtail), 1765 nucleotides. RefSeq lists it as uncharacterized. NCBI's taxonomy places the organism in Eukaryota, Metazoa, Chordata, Actinopteri, Cyprinodontiformes, Poeciliidae. The transcript is spliced from 2 exons. The record is from RefSeq and is a predicted model, not a curated record.